UGAUCAUGGUGCAGGUAGACCCUAAGAAGAGAUUUGAACCUCUUCCAUGCAUGAUAUAAGUUCUCAUCUGCCUUCUUCUUAAAACCCAAAAUCUUACUUCUGAACCU
Non-coding RNA from Capsicum annuum, 107 nucleotides. The record is from Rfam. NCBI's taxonomy places the organism in Eukaryota, Viridiplantae, Streptophyta, Magnoliopsida, Solanales, Solanaceae.